Molecule: long non-coding RNA, 664 nt
Filed under: Mytilus galloprovincialis (Mediterranean mussel)
Lineage: Eukaryota; Metazoa; Mollusca; Bivalvia; Mytilida; Mytilidae
Source: RNAcentral
CAGGCUUAGUAUGUGUAGAAAAAAAACCGGUACUCUAUACUUCAUAAAAAUAAGUAGAGUUGUUGGUUGACAGAAUGGCUAUGAUUACAUGUGUCUAUACAUUAUGUUAGGCUCUCGGAGCCUUAUGAUAAAUACAUUCAACAGAAACAACUAAAGAUCUACCAUAAUCGACUAAUAAUUGGUGAAACUUGAGAUCCUCAUUAAUUGAAAUAAGAUGUUUUCAGGAAACUCUAUUGAUUCUUUGAUAUGAAUUUCAUUGUGAUCGACCACUGGUACAACGUAACUUGUCAACUAACAUUUUGUCUCUAAUUGAAUAUGCCCCUCAACUGCAUAGAUAAUGUUAAAUAUCUGAACGGAAAGACAGUACAUACACUCUAGUUCCGAUCAGGGAAUUGGCGAAUAUUAUAAACUGUGCCUGUUUAAAAUUAGUUACUUUUCCAUCGUUGACACCUUAAGAAGAAAAAACCUUACGCCUCAUAACAACUUUGGAAAAUAUUUUCGUUUGAUCUAUAGAAGGUUUAAUUUAGAUUGACCAGAAGGCGGGUGUUAUUUCAAUAUGGAAUUAAUUCUCUGUAGUAUGCAAAUAAUUCAACUCCAUUUAUAUAGUCUAUUAAUUGAUUUAUAAAGGCAACAGUAGUAUACCGCUGUUCAAAUUCUGUUUAAA